Molecule: ribosomal RNA, 774 nt
Filed under: uncultured Neocallimastigales
Lineage: Eukaryota; Fungi; Neocallimastigomycota; Neocallimastigomycetes; Neocallimastigales
Description: partial large subunit ribosomal RNA
Rfam family: Eukaryotic large subunit ribosomal RNA
Source: RNAcentral
GUAGUCUCGCACAGAUGCAUAUCAAUAAGCGGAGGAAAAGAAACUAACAAGGAUUCCCCUAGUAACGGCGAGCGAAGCGGGAAGAGCUCAAAUUUGAAAUCUUAAAGGGUUUCCCUUUACGAAUUGUAGUUUAAAGAAGUGUUUUCUGUUGAGGUUUUGGUAAAAGUUCUUUGGAAUAGGACAUCAUAGAGGGUGAGAAUCCCGUAUUUGACCUUUACUUUCAACUUUGUGAUACACUUUCAAAGAGUCGGAUUGUUUGGGAAUGCAGUCCAAAAUGGGUGGUAAAUUUCAUCUAAAGCUAAAUAUUGGCGAGAGACCGAUAGCGAACAAGUACCGUGAGGGAAAGAUGAAAAGAACUUUGAGAAGAGAGUUAAACAGUACGUGAAAUUGUCAAAAGGGAAGCGUUUGACACCAGUGUUGUUUUUCUGAAAAUCAAUUAAAGAACUGUUUAUGCUAAGUUGUUUAGACUUUAUCAGCUAACUGUUUAGUUUUGAGCUUUUCUUUAAUGCACUUUUCAGUUAACAAGUCAACAUCAAUUUCUUUUGCUGUAAAAAAGCUUGAGGAAGGUGGCUUGAGAUUCGUCUUAAGUGUUUAUAGCCUCUUGCCUAUGCAGUCGGAGAGAUUGAGGUCUGCAGCGUAGAUCCUUCGGGGCUAAAUGCAUUUGUGCUAAGUUAUAGCAUUUUAUAGACAACUUGUUGACUAUGAUUUGUCUUGUAGCUUACUCGCUUAUGUUAUUUUACCUACGCUUAGGAUGUUGAUCUGUAGUGCGUGCGC